AGUCUGAUGGAGCCCGCCGCGUGAGUGAAGAAGGCUUUCGGGUCGUAAAACUCUGUUGUUGGGGAAGAUGGUCUGCAGAGUAUCCGUUGGCUCCGUGACGUUACCCAACCAAAAAGCCACGGCUAACUACGUG
Molecule: ribosomal RNA, 133 nt
Filed under: uncultured Lactobacillus sp.
Lineage: Bacteria; Bacillati; Bacillota; Bacilli; Lactobacillales; Lactobacillaceae
Description: partial 16S ribosomal RNA
Rfam family: Bacterial small subunit ribosomal RNA
Source: RNAcentral